AAUGAACGCUGGCGGCGUGCUUAACACAUGCAAGUCGAACGAGGCUGAGGGGGCAACUCCUCAGUUUAGUGGCGGACGGGUGAGUAACACGUGGGUAACCUGCCCGGAAGUGGGGAAUAC
RNAcentral lists this ribosomal RNA (120 nucleotides) under uncultured bacterium. Its description in RNAcentral is "partial 16S ribosomal RNA". It matches the Rfam family "Bacterial small subunit ribosomal RNA", at positions 29 to 146 of the family's 1533-position model. The record is from RNAcentral.